Molecule: long non-coding RNA, 1320 nt
Organism: Lemur catta (Ring-tailed lemur)
Lineage: Eukaryota; Metazoa; Chordata; Mammalia; Primates; Lemuridae
Exons: 3
Source: RefSeq, a predicted model, not a curated record
GUUGGGAGAACAAAGGCCCAAUGCCUGACCUGGGGGACAGGCCCCCAAUCCUGGUCUGCCGUCCCUGGCUUCAGUGGCCCCUUUUGGCAGGUCUCCCACCUGCCUGGUCCCCUCUGCCUUUUGGACUACUCAGCACUGACUGCAUUCAUGAGAGUCUCCCUCGUACAGAGGCAGCACCUCGGAGUCAGACAGACAGGGUCCGCAUCACACUCAAGUCAUUCUGAGCAAGCCACAGCCCUCACCGAGCCCCCAGCUUUCGAGUGUGACCAAUGGGGGCAUUUCCAUCCUCCCGGGGGCCUGUGAUGAUCAAAUGGAGCUUUAAGCUCCAGUUGUGCGGUAGCUUGUUUUACUGUCCACUGGGUGGCCAGGCUGUGCCGCAAGACAGGAUGAACAAGGAAUGAAGACAAGGUUAAAAGGCAGAUAAGUGCGCCCCAGGGAAGAGAAGAGACCAGUGUGUGACUCCAGGUGGCUGGGGACAGACAACACACACGCCCCAAGCUGCAGGGUGCUGCGUCUACUUAGACGGGGAGAGGAGAGAGAGCGCCCAAGAUCCAGCCCCGUGGUCAGUAGAUCCACCCAGCAACUGAGCGGGCAGUGUGGCAGCACAGACCCCCGUCCUGCUGCAGCAGACGGACACCCCCCACCUGCAUGGGGGGGGGUCUGCCUUUCCCAACAGUGCUGGAUAAGUGCCUGCAUGUCCUGGACAAGCCUCAUCAAUCCACACAGUAAGGGGGUGGGGAGACCUGGAAGAGCAGAAGCUGGGACUGAGACCUUUGCCCCACCUGGAAGCCAUCUUUGUGCAUCAUGUCCGCCCUCUCCGUAGGGCCUGGAACCUUCCCCGCUACAUCCUCCCAAGGGACAGAGCAAAGGGAGAUCCGUCCGUCAGGGAGGAAGUGUGGCUGGAUACCUCGAAGGUUCUCGUAAAUCCCUGCAGAGUGAAUGAACAAAGUGGGUCUCAGAUUAGGCCUAAGGGGAAGCCCACUUCAUUGCUGACUUGGUGACAUAGUCAGUGGCCUGUGACCUCUCCCAGCGGGGAGGACACAGGAUCCAGCUCCCACUCAUCUGGGGACACUUAAGUGUCUUUCAGUGUACCCACCUGUAAAGUGGAGCGACCACAUCUCCAGCUCAACCCCACGCCGUGGUUGUGGAAGGUGGUGGGGCCCUACAGCUCAUCCCACAUGCUUGUCUCACAACGUGUAAAAACAGGAUACAAGUGGCAGCUGGAUGCCAGUCCCCACGGCUCUGUCCAUCAUAAAGCCUCAAGAUCUUGAUAUCUGUGUUGUAUGACUUUUAACUUCUCCUUUUUAACUAAGAAUUAGC